Molecule: ribosomal RNA, 253 nt
Filed under: uncultured bacterium
Lineage: Bacteria
Description: partial 16S ribosomal RNA
Rfam family: Bacterial small subunit ribosomal RNA
Source: RNAcentral
UACGAGAGGCCCAAACGUUAUUCGGAUUUACUGGGCUUAAAGAGUUCGUAGGCGGCGCAGAAAGUAGGGUGUGAAAGCCCUCGGCUCAACCGAGGAAUUGCGCCCUAAACUACUGUGCUUGAGGAACCUAGAGGUGAGCGGAACUGAUGGUGGAGCGGUGAAAUGCGUUGAUAUCAUCAGGAACACCGGAGGCGAAGGCGGCUCACUGGGGGUUAUCUGACGCUGAGGUGCGAAAGCGUGGGGAGCAAACAGG